UGGACCAGUGAUGAUCAGUGCCGGCGUAUGAGGCUCAGGUCAUGAAUAAUACGUUUCUGGAACUCUGAGGUCCAA
Small nucleolar RNA from Sciurus vulgaris (Eurasian red squirrel), 75 nucleotides. Ensembl annotates it as small nucleolar RNA, C/D box 114-12. The record is from Ensembl. NCBI's taxonomy places the organism in Eukaryota, Metazoa, Chordata, Mammalia, Rodentia, Sciuridae.